RNAcentral lists this long non-coding RNA (7996 nucleotides) under Lactuca sativa (garden lettuce). Its description in RNAcentral is "long non-coding RNA (LSAT_LNC008242)". The record is from RNAcentral. Lineage: Eukaryota; Viridiplantae; Streptophyta; Magnoliopsida; Asterales; Asteraceae.
UGGUCCUUUUGGGUUGCCUUCACCAAAGCAACUUGAUUGGAGAAAUAAAUAAAGCGAGAGGUUAUUAUGAUUUAUUAAUAUGUUAUAAGAAUAAUAUAUUAAAGGAGAAAUCAUAUUUGUUUAAUUAAUAUUGGUCAAUAAUUAAUUAAGAAUUAAUUUUGUGAUCAAGUGUAAUUAAUUAAACUAGAGGGGUUGAAUUGUAAUUAUGUGAUAGUUACAAAAUAGGGCAAUGGUUAUCCUUGUUAAAGGAUGGACGAAUUCAAGGAUAAGGAUAUCCUUAAAAUCGUCCAAGGUCCAAAAGAUAGGGAUUUUCAAGGCUUAUCUUAUGGUUGCUUGAUGGGCAAGUAACUAGAUAAGGAUAAGGACUGAAACCCUAAUCCUAACCCUAUAUAAAGACCCCAAGGCUCAUGAAUUCGUCUAAGCCUUCCCAAGAGGUCCUAGAAACGAAUUCAAUACCUCCCCUCUCUCCUUAUACCUUCUCCACUUGCUUAUGGUGUUUGUAAGCCAUUAGAGGAGUGACACUUGUGACUCUAAGCCUUCCAAAGUCAAUUCAAGGAGGAAUUGGGAUUGUUGUUGCUACAUAACAAUCAAGGUAAUAUCAUAAACCUAAUUAUAUGUUAAUAUUGAUUUCCAUAUGCUAGAAUUAGGGUUUAUAGUCUUGGAUUCAAAGCAUGUACAAUAGAGAAACCUAGAUCCAAGCAUUAGGGUUUGUAUGAGCACAUAGGAUGUCUUAUGACCAAAACCCAUCAGUGGUAUCAGAGCCUAGAUUGGUUUCUAUUGUAUUGAUGCUUGAUAUGUUUAAAAAAUUCGAUUUUUGGUGUUCUGCUUGAUGGACUCGGCGAGUCCCACUGUGGACUCGGCGAGUUGCCCCUACUCGGCGAGUUCCAGAGGGUGACUCGGCGAGUCGGUGCGUCAGACAGAGGUAUAUUCGGGAUUUCUUGCUGUUUUUGCUUAUGGAUGGUUACCUUAUCAUGUUAGAUCAAUAUUAAUCCGAUUAUAUGAUAUAUUUGACUAUAUUUUUGAUCUAAUUGAAGAUAUUUAUCAAUUAAUAAGAUAAUUGUUUCCUUAUAAGAUAAUUGAUUAAUUAUUUUGAGUAAAUUGAUAAAUUGUUUUGCAAGAAAUCAUUAAAUAAAUCAAAUAUGGAUAAUUAUGUGAUUAAAUGUUAAUUUAAAUUAUUUGUUAUUUGAUCCUUGUUGUUAUGAAAAGUUUCAUAUUUUGCCCUUUAGGUUUUAUAGUUUAAAUUUGAACCCAAAAGUUUUGUUGUUUUGAAAUUUAAAUAGUUGAAACCCUAAUGUUUUGAAAAAGGUUUCAAAACUUGCCCUCAAGUUUUGGAAUUUAAAUUUUGAUUAAAUGGUUUAAUUUUGAUGUAUAUUUAAAUUGUAAACUCUAAUGUUUGAAAUGUUUCAAAACCUGCCCUCAAGUUUUAAAUUCUAAAACCCUAGUAUUGUUUUGAAAAAGUUCAAAUCACACCCUUAUGGUUUUAUUAAUUAAUUAAGGUGUAUAAUUAAAAGAGGUUUAAUAAAUCCAUAAAAGUUUAGGUUUACAAUUUAAUUGAAUUAAAAGUAUAAUUGUUAAAUUAGACCACCUAGUAUUUUGAAAGUAUAAAAUACACCCUAUACUAUAUAUAACAUUAAAAGUCUAACAUUAUAUAUAUGUAUGAGUAAAAGUCAGUCUUACCGUUAGUAGGCCUCAUUCACGAAGCUGGUCUAUAAGGGGUGUUUAAGGAAAUUGCCUAUAAAAUGGCGAUUGAAUGGGUAUCCACUCUUACCCACCGCACUCUUGACUAGUGGAGGGUCGUUAGCCGAACGGGUAGGAUAGGACGAAACCUUCCAUUAUAAGUAUAAUGAAUUAUUAAAGUAACUAAAUGUUUUCAUAAAAUUCCCAAUCUUAGUUACUUAGGCAAAAGUGAAUUGAUGCAAUUCCAUGAAAUUACACUUUGUGCCCUUGCGAAGACGUUAGUGGAGCGUGUGUGGUUAACCGGCACACUAAAUGGUUCUAAGCAAAGGUAGCAAAGGGUGACUCAAUGUUUGUCAUAGUUCGGUGGAGCGUGUGUGGUUUACCGGCACAUCGAAUAGGUGACUGUAACAUGUGAGGGCACCAUGUAAGUUUGCAUGGUUAUUCACACCCGCUUUGUGAUCCUCGGCAUCCCAGUCACAAACAAGAGGGGCAUAUCGAGAUUUAAACAUGCCAUUGAAAGUUCAAUGAAUCUCAAAGGAUCUAGGAGUUUUCAUAGAUUUAAAACUUAAAUUUCUUUUUCGUUUUUCAUGGUGGAAAUUAGUGAAUCGUCAUUCACUUACCUUCAAAUAUUCUGCAAUUAGGGUUACGGCAUCCCUCUCCCGAGUUGUAGAAUAUUGUGUUGGGUCCUAGCCUUAGUAUCUCAUUUGGGUGAUUUACUAAGGACUCAAUCAAUCAACUAACUUGAAUUCGUUUUCUCCCGUUUUGUAGAUGUCAAAGUUCGACAACUAUGGUCUUCCCAAAUCCCGUGGAACAAGCAUUCCACAUGAAGAUGAUAUUCCACGAUUCGAUCGAGGAACAAGAAAUCAUGCUUCACUUCCUCCUCCUCCUCCAAUUAUUCUCCCUAACCCACAAGUUCAAAGGCUUGAAAAGUUCAAGAUCACUCAAGCCCUUUUGGCAAGUAAACAUAAAGAAGGAAAGUCGGUGUGUGCACACGUCCUAGGGAUGAAGUCACACAUUGAUAGGUUAAGAAUGUUGGGAUCCGUUGUCUGUGAGGAAAUGGCUGUUGAUUGGGUUCUUCAGUCACUUCCUAACUCAUAUAGUGAGUUCGUAAGAGAGUACUAUAUGAUGAACCGCGACGUGACCCUUAUAGAUCUCACCUAUAUGCUUAUUGCUGCUGAAUCAGCAAUGGUUUGGCGCAAUAGAAAAGCAAAGUUGAUUGGUGAAUCUGCCUUCAAGACCUCUAUGGAUAUAGACAAUGGCAACGAAAGACAUGCUAUGAUCGAAAAGUUUGAUCAUAAGAGAAAGGCAAUGUCUGAAGUAGUUCCAUGUCAUGUUCCAAAAGAGUCAAUUUGCUUUUAUUGCCAAGAGAAAGGGCAUUGGAGACGAAGCUGCCCCAUUUACCUAAGAGAUCUAAGAGAUGGGAGAGUCGAAACGUAUGGCUCUAAUAUAGGUAAAAUCCAUUAACUAACUCUUUUAAGCUUCUAUUCUAGAUUCUUAAUACAUAAUGUGAUAAGAUUACAAUUGAUGUUUUGUAGGAUCGAAGAAAAGAAAGGAAGCUUAAGGGAAGAAGUGAGCAGAAUCUAACCGUGAAGGAAUGGAUUUCGAUCGCAUUUCUCGAAGAUUAGAUUCUUGAGCUACUACUUAGAGUUAGAAUUAGAUUGCUAAGAAAGAUGUAUUAGCAUAGUUUUUCAAUGAAUUGCAUUGUAAGGACAAAUUUUUUCCGCAAUAAAAUAAAUUUUGAUUUUAUAUUAUUUAUUUAUCCUUGCAAUGGCGUAUAUGAAAAAUUGAUGUUUGAAUGUUUCUAUUAUUAGCAAUAAUGGAUUUGGUUCUUAUUAUGUUAUUUAUGGAAAGUCGAGAAUUUACCAAAUAGGGAGAGUUUCUCAUCGCCCAAGUUUCAAUUGGACAGAAACUUGGAAUCAUGCAACUUGGUUGCACGAUGAAUGAGAAAUUUCAUAUUUGGAAAUUAGACUAAUUCAUUGACAAAGUGUCAAGUGAAGGACUAGGAGAUCGAGUACACAAAGUUGCGUGUUGAUCAAGUCCACCAUAAGAGUAACAAAGAUAUUCGUCAUGAUUUACUAAAGGUUUAGUAAAUAUGAUUAUACUUACAAGAUUAAGUGUAAUUCUGAAUUGAUUGAAAAAGUUUAAAUCAAUAGCAGAACGAAUAAGAAGAAUCAAGUAGGCAGAAAGAUAAAAGUUUCUCCAUUCUAAGAAGAAGGGAGAGUACCUUUUAUGCUUUAUGAUAGGUCUUAAUGAUUAAGAACCAUAUCUCAAUUGAUCCUCUAAGUGAGUCUUAGUACAAUUGUAUGUCUAAGAAGAGGAAUCAAGAAUUGAAGAAAUGGUUAAAUCAAGAAGUCAAUCAUACUUCGUUCCAAAACAAGUCUUAGAGUUAAGAUUGUGACAUUGAGUGAAAAGUAUUAAGAAGGUUUAUAACAUUCAUCAAAUGUGGAAAGUUGUGAUGUCUUGGAUAAGACAAAGACCAACUAGGACCAAUUUAUGAAGUGUUUUGAUAAAAGCUACACUAACUCUUGAAUAUUUGUUUGUCAAGAAAUGUUUAUUGACAAGAGAAUCUUAUAUGUCAAGGAGUCAGUGGGAGUCUUAAUGGUCUUGAAAGGUUUCAAGAACAAAUCAAAUAAACCUUAUCGAUCAUCACUAGCACACGAGUUGAGGUUUACAACCUAUCGUGUUGACAUUAUUUUGUUUCUGUGCCAAUCCAAUCGAGUUAAUUAUGCAUGUGAGUUCUAUGAGUUCUCAUUUUGAACGCAUAAAAGGCAAAGCACCUUAAUCAAUGAAAGGUACAUUGAUAGGAAAGGGUGAGCUGCUUAACUACUUGGAAGACAUGGUGGGCAGCUGUGCUACCAUAAGGCAAGAAAUCAAGAUUAAGAAAGUUCGGUCCAUAUGAGUUUGAAUUUGUCGUAAACUUUGGUUUUAACAAAUUCACAUGGAUAGGAACACAUACACCGUUUAAAUCUAAGUGUCAUAAGAUUUCCUCCUUCAUGAAAAUGAUUGUGAGGAAAUGCUUUCACUAAGAAAGAUUUUAAGAAGAUAGUGAUUGUAAAAUUGCAUUCUCGAAUUCGAUUAUGGUUACGGUAUCCCUUUCCAUAAUUUGAAUUGUGAGGUUUGGCAAUUAGUCUUAAUUGUUUAGACACACAUAUGAACUAUCGAAGGCAAAGGUGUAUAAGUUCAAGAAGCCUUGAUAAAAGAUUAUCAAAGCACUAAGUAUUAGAAACAUGAACUUAAGAAAUUCAAUAAGUAUUGUUUUUCUGAAAGUUAAGAUGUUUAUGAAUACAUGUCGAAGCUAGUGGGAGCAUAAGUGUUAUGUUUUAUAAUAAUCAUCAUGAUAGUGGGAGCAUAAAUGUUAUGAUUGUAUGAUUAUUAAGGCACGUAUUGCAAGUUGGCAAUAUUAAUUAUAGAAAACAAGAGUUAUACCUUGCAAAGUCGUAAGGGUUGUAAAGUUGUUUUGCUAUAAUUAAGGGAGAGAAUAUUAUGCUUCAUUUCAAAUCUAAAGGAUUAGGUUGAGAAAUGUUAAUAAAUUUAGUCAAAGGUACAUAGUGUGUUCUUAAAAUUUCGAUUAUGAUUACGGCAUUCCUCUUCACAAUUCGAAUUUUGAGAACAUAGCAAAUAAAACAUUAUGCGUCGUGUCCCAUACGCUUCGGGUAUAGGAUCGAUUGCAAAUGCUUUAAUGUUUGACCAUUCUAAAAUUUUCCAAAUGUCGAGCGCAUUUAGAGGGAAAAGGGACUAGAAUUGGUUUUGACUAAAAUAAUUAAACAACUAUCAAAGGACAAUCCAAAGUUCGACGAGGAUUGGUCGCUUGUGAGUAGUUGGAAGCAUGGUAUUGGAUGGACCAUAUCGACAUUAUUAUGAAUAGAAAAGAUUCUAUUAAGAAUGAGUUGUCAUAUGGAAAUUAUGGAAAUGUUUCCAUAUUGGAUGGACCAUAUCGACAUCAUUACGAAUAGAUAAGAUUCUAUUAAGAAUGAGUUGUCAUAUGGAAAAUAUGGAAGCGUGUCCAUAUUGGGAAUUGAAUAUUGAAAAUCUAUGUCUAGAUUAGAAACUUUUAUGCAAAAGGAUGUUCAAAGGAAUGUACUUUGAGUGAGAGACAUCAUAUCUAAGGAAUUGUCUUGUAACAAUCUCCGAUAGAGGACUUUGUAAUAUCAUUGGCAAUAGUCUUUGUGACUUUGGUGCAGUGACAUUACGAAAGGAUCAUUGCAUAGAAUGUUAGAAUCUAGCAUAUUUUAUAAGUAACAAGAAUUUGAUAUUCUCACACUUAUGAAAAAGGAUUUGGAGUUGUGAAAUGAGAAUGAUUGGAAAUGUGUUCAAUUUGAUCUAUUUCACAAAAGUAAGAACCAUAGGUAAACAUUGUGUGCAUGCUAAGAGCAUGGGACAAGUGUAAUAAUUCAAGUAAGAAGUUGAUUACCCGAAACGACAAAUAAUGAGUAAUCGAUAUGGUGAUAAAUAAAAGGUGUUUUAUUUAUACUCAAAGGUUUGAGGCCAUAUGGGAUUAGUAUUAUUCUUGUGUUUCACAUUUGCAUGUUUUGACUUCCAGAAUAAUUGAGUUUAUUAAGAAUAAUCGAAUUAUUCGAACGGGCCACAGUCGUUCAUAUGUUGGAAGUAGAUAUGAAUGAAGAUUGUCGUGAAUUGGUGUGUGGAUUGUCUAAAAGAGUAUUAGACAUAAGCAAAUGUUUGCUGCAACGUUCAUGAGUGCUUAUGAAUAUGAUUUGAGCAUUGGAUUAAACCCACGCUCACUUGGAUCACUCCAUGAAUUGUAUCACGAGUGAUUGGUGAGACGAUAACAUCUUAUAUUCUUGAAACCGAGAUGUGUGAGUUGUAUCUUGCAAAUCGGUUGCACAUUGAUAAUAUGUAAACGCACUAGUAACUUGGUGUUAUAAAACAUAUUGUUGUGUGUGAUUCGGUUAGUAAGUGACAGCAAGCAUUUUAUCAAAGUUUAUCCGUUCCUUUUAUCCAAGGUAGGAUAAAAGCGAUAUCUUUGGGCCCCUCGAUGGUUUUGUGACAACAAACGUAAAUGCUUGGCCGGGCUAGGGCUAAUUUGAUUUGUUCAAUUAGUCAGUUGUCAUAAAUCGGAAGUCGAGAAAUAGUACAAAGAGAAUGAUUUGAAAUCAUGUCUUAUACGAUAUCUAGAAUGCAGGAAUAUAUGAUCCCUUAUCUAAGGACACGCGUAUCUGAUAGGAUCAAAGUUGAUAGCGGCUUUGGAAAGCUACAAUUGCAGAUUAGGAUCUGAAGUCAUACGCAUAAUAGUUACUAGACUUAUCUAAGUGGGAGACUGUUGGAUUAGUGUCUAAGUCCAUAACUAUUUUGGUAUGUACUUGACCCGAUGGUGCAUGGUCCUUUUGGGUUGCCUUCACCAAAGCAACUUGAUUGGAGAAAUAAAUAAAGAGAGAGGUUAUUAUGAUUUAUUAAUAUGUUAUAAGAAUAAUAUAUUAAAGGAGAAAUCAUAUUUGUUUAAUUAAUAUUGGUCAAUAAUUAAUUAAGAAUUAAUUUUGUGAUCAAGUGUAAUUAAUUAAACUAGAGGGGAUGAAUUGUAAUUAUGUGAUAGUUACAAAAUAGGGCAAUGGUUAUCCUUGUUAAAGGAUGGACGAAUUCAAGGAUAAGGAUAUCCUUAAAAUCGUCCAAGGUCCAAAAGAUAGGGAUUUUCAAGGCUUAUCUUAUGGUUGCUUGAUGGGCAAGUAACUAGAUAAGGAUAAAGACUGAAACUCUAAUCCUAACCCUAUAUAAAGACCCCAAGGCUCAUGAAUUCGUCUAAGCCUUCCCAAGAGGUCCUAGAAACGAAUUCAAUACCUCCCCUCUCUCCUUAUACCUUCUCCACUUGCUUAUGGUGUUUGUAAGCCAUUAGAGGAGUGACACUUGUGACUCUAAGCCUUCUAAAGUCAAUUCAAGGAGGAAUUGGGAUUGUUGUUGCUACAUAACAAUCAAGGUAAUAUCAUAAACCUAAUUAUAUGUUAAUAUUGAUUUCCAUAUGCUAGAAUUAGGGUUUAUAGUCUUGGAUUCAAAGCAUGUACAAUAGAGAAACCUAGAUCCAAGCAUUAGGGUUUGUAUGAGCACAUAGGAUGUCUUAUGACCAAAACCCAUCAGUUAUGUGAUUAUAUGUAUGGCAUGUGGUAGUCUGGGGAGACUCACUAAGCUUCGUGCUUACAGUUUUCAGUUUUGGUUUCAGGUACUUCUAGUGGUAGAGGGAAGAGCUCGGGAUGACUGGAUUGCACACACCAUGAUGAUUUAGCCUGGGAUGAUUACUCUAAUGUUUUGAUAUGAUACUCUGAUAACGUUUUGAAAUACUUGACUUAUAUUUUGAUGAACUGGUUGAUAAAUA